This 492-nucleotide ribosomal RNA is filed under the name uncultured bacterium. RNAcentral's name for it is "partial 16S ribosomal RNA". It matches the Rfam family "Bacterial small subunit ribosomal RNA", at positions 29 to 507 of the family's 1533-position model. The record is from RNAcentral.
AGUGAACGCUGGCGGUAGGCCUAACACAUGCAAGUCGAACGGCAGCACAGUAAGAGCUUGCUCUUACGGGUGGCGAGUGGCGGACGGGUGAGGAAUACAUCGGAAUCUACUUUUUCGUGGGGGAUAACGUAGGGAAACUUACGCUAAUACCGCAUACGACCUACGGGUGAAAGCAGGGGAUCUUCGGACCUUGCGCGAUUGAAUGAGCCGAUGUCGGAUUAGCUAGUUGGCGGGGUAAAGGCCCACCAAGGCGACGAUCCGUAGCUGGUCUGAGAGGAUGAUCAGCCACACUGGAACUGAGACACGGUCCAGACUCCUGCGGGAGGCAGCAGUGGGGAAUAUUGGACCAUGGGCGCAAGCCUGAUCCAGCCAUACCGCGUGGGUGAAGAAGGCCUUCGGGUUGUAAAGCCCUUUUGUUGGGAAAGAAAAGCAGCAGGUUAAUACCCCGCUGUUCUGACGGUACCCAAAGAAUAAGCACCGGCUAACUUCGUG